CGCACAUUGCGCCCUUUGGCAUUCCGAAGGGCAUGCCCGUUCGAGCGUCAUUAAAUCCACUCAAGCCUGGCUUGGUAUUGGGCGCCGGGGAAUCCCCCCGCGCCUCCAUUUCGCCGGCUGGCCGUCGUUUGACUUAGCGUUGUGACACAUGUCGCUGACGAUGAAGACGGACCGCGCCGUGAGAAUUUCCUUGAGUAUCGAUCGAUAUUCAGUAAAGGUUGACCUCGGAUCGGGUAGGAAUACCCGCUGAACUUAA
This 256-nucleotide unclassified non-coding RNA is filed under the name Devriesia sp. RNAcentral describes it as "partial contains 5.8S ribosomal RNA, internal transcribed spacer 2, and large subunit ribosomal RNA". Lineage: Eukaryota; Fungi; Ascomycota; Dothideomycetes; Mycosphaerellales; Teratosphaeriaceae. The record is from RNAcentral.